Molecule: ribosomal RNA, 434 nt
Filed under: Escherichia coli
Lineage: Bacteria; Pseudomonadati; Pseudomonadota; Gammaproteobacteria; Enterobacterales; Enterobacteriaceae
Description: partial 23S ribosomal RNA
Rfam family: Bacterial large subunit ribosomal RNA
Source: RNAcentral
ACUAACUGGAGGACCGAACCGACUAAUGUUGAAAAAUUAGCGGAUGACUUGUGGCUGGGGGUGAAAGGCCAAUCAAACCGGGAGAUAGCUGGUUCUCCCCGAAAGCUAUUUAGGUAGCGCCUCGUGAAUUCAUCUCCGGGGGUAGAGCACUGUUUCGGCAAGGGGGUCAUCCCGACUUACCAACCCGAUGCAAACUGCGAAUACCGGAGAAUGUUAUCACGGGAGACACACGGCGGGUGCUAACGUCCGUCGUGAAGAGGGAAACAACCCAGACCGCCAGCUAAGGUCCCAAAGUCAUGGUUAAGUGGGAAACGAUGUGGGAAGGCCCAGACAGCCAGGAUGUUGGCUUAGAAGCAGCCAUCAUUUAAAGAAAGCGUAAUAGCUCACUGGUCGAGUCGGCCUGCGCGGAAGAUGUAACGGGGCUAAACCAUGCA